RNAcentral lists this unclassified non-coding RNA (212 nucleotides) under soil metagenome. RNAcentral describes it as "partial contains 5.8S ribosomal RNA, internal transcribed spacer 2, and large subunit ribosomal RNA". The record is from RNAcentral.
AAGACUAUAGACCUGCGGAGUACCUGCGGAAGGAUCAUUACCGAGUUAUACAACUCAUCAACCCUGUGAACAUACCUAUAACGUUGCCUCGGCGGGAACAGACGGCCCCGUAACACGGGCCGCCCCCGCCAGAGGACCCCCUAACUCUGUUUCUAUAAUGUUUCUUCUGAGUAAACAAGCAAAUAAAUUAAAACUUUUAGCAACGGAUCUCU